Molecule: non-coding RNA, 67 nt
Filed under: unclassified sequences
Description: RAGATH-18 RNA
Rfam family: RAGATH-18 RNA
About the family: Actinobacteria, Firmicutes, Fusobacteria, Thermotogae (1 example).
Source: Rfam by way of RNAcentral
CUUGUGGACUAUCAAAACAACUGUAGUAGUGAACUUUUUGGCGAGGCAGGAUAGGAAGAAGCAAGAA